Molecule: unclassified non-coding RNA, 209 nt
Filed under: Hevea brasiliensis (rubber tree)
Lineage: Eukaryota; Viridiplantae; Streptophyta; Magnoliopsida; Malpighiales; Euphorbiaceae
Source: RNAcentral
GGCUGUGGUUGAGUUGUGUAAGAAUUGGCUAAAGAUAUUGCUUUAUUGUGUAGGUCCAAGCAUUUUUAACAUUAAAUGUAAACUUUUAUAGCAUUCUGUGGACAAAUUGUUGCAGUUAAUCCUCUUGCUUAUAUCUACAAAUUUAUGUGAUGAGUAUGGUGAGUUGCUUCAAUAUAUCAUCAAUCAUAUUGAAACAAUGGUGUUAUCGG